Molecule: non-coding RNA, 24 nt
Filed under: Arabidopsis thaliana (thale cress)
Lineage: Eukaryota; Viridiplantae; Streptophyta; Magnoliopsida; Brassicales; Brassicaceae
Source: RNAcentral
UAAGAUUUGGCUAAGAUAUACCGC